Long non-coding RNA from Arachis ipaensis, 1678 nucleotides. RefSeq lists it as uncharacterized. Lineage: Eukaryota; Viridiplantae; Streptophyta; Magnoliopsida; Fabales; Fabaceae. The record is from RefSeq and is a predicted model, not a curated record.
CCUCCUACUAAACUCACACACAUAUACCCCCUAGCCUGUCAACCCCUCAGUGAGCCACGCUCAAUCUUCUUGCCGCUUACCACCGCCAACCCCCUUUUCCUUUUUACCCACACCCACACCUCAACGAAGGAAGGUAACAGAAGGGAAGAAACGAGAGUUUGAGAUUAGAGAGUUGAGAGGGGAAAUCAAAGCGCGAGGGAGAAGAAGAGAGGGGGAGGGAUGGCGCCGCGGGGUUUGCUGCUGCGCCGCCACGUCCAGCUUGCCGUUGCACCUCACUGCCGUCACUGUCAUCAGGAGUGUCAGGAGAGACAAAAGGAACUCGCGGGGGAAACCACCACUGCUAGAAGAAGUUGCGCCGCCAUCACUGACGAAGGAGAAGGGAGUAGAGGAAACGGGCUAGGACCCAGGGGGAGGAGAUGCCGCCGUUUGUCGCUGCCUGUGCCGCCGUUCACACCUCUAUCGCCAAACUGCAUGCGCUGUUAACGUCACGGUCACCACGCCUCACAAUCGGGAGUCUGAACAUGAGGAAGGAGAGGAACCAUCGCGUUCUGCUGCCAUCGAGGGACCCAUUGCCGCCAGCUCUGCCACUGACGAACCGUCGCGCCGCCGCUGGGGCCAAUCACCGUUGCCAAGCUCCUCAUCGCUGCUUUGAUUGUCGGAAGUUACCAACGAAGCUGCUGCUAGUCCUUUCCCCUGUUCUUUUUAAUUUCUGGCUGCCACUGCAAAUUGUACGAUGGUAUUGCUGUUGCGGGGAGUUGUUGGUGCGGCUAAUGCCGCUGCUGUUGCUAAUCUGGUUUGAGGCUGUUGCUGUUGCUACAAGUUAAAACGAAAUUGGAGACACUCUUAACUUUGUGGGUUUCGACUAACUGAGUGACACAGGUUCGAAGACUCAGUAUGAAGCUUCGACUGAUUAGUAGAUUUACUUAUGAUUCCUGUUGCUCUUAUAGAGUUUCCUUGCCCUUGUUGUCUUAGUUUUUAUUUUAUCCAGAGGGAUACGUAUUGUAUUCGAAUUUUAUAUUGAACAUGUUUGUAUGGAAUUUAUUAUUAUUAUUAGUAAUUAUGUGACUAUUAUUAUUAUUUGAAGAUCUUUGAUAUGUGGUCUUAAUUAAUAGAAACAAAAUUUUCUAGAAUUUUCUUAAAAACUGAAAUGCAAUAUCGACGUAAAUGCUCAAUAUUAAAGAGAUAAUAAAGGAAAACAGGUUAGUAACGCCUUAUUUUUGGUACGAUUAUAACGUGCUAAAAGUUACGGUGUUACAGGUAAAGUUUUUCAAUGAGGUGCUUGUGUUUUUUAAAAGCUCAAGUUUUUCAUUUUGUGUUUGGUAAAUAAAAAAGAUCACGUGCUUAUGCUUGCAGCUUUUAACAGAUCGGGGUACUUUUGAAAGCACUUAAGGACAUGAGGAGAUACAGAAAGAUCUAUGUCGUAUUCCACCAGGAGAUGAACAACUACAGAAAGUUAUAAAUAAUUGGUGCUACAAAAUUACUAGUGAAGCUUGUGAACUCACAGAAGACUUGAAGUGUUGCCAUGAUUGCCAAAAUACGUAUGGAUCCACCGCAUAUGGAAAAUGUCUUUCUUCUAAGCUACACUGUAUUUGUCUCACUCCAUGUUAAGAUUCUAGUAUGUGUAUUUCAUACGCAAUGCAACGUUGUAGUACUUACAUAAAUAAUUCGAAAUUAUAAA